This 560-nucleotide ribosomal RNA is filed under the name Flavihumibacter sp. M73T2. Its description in RNAcentral is "bacterial SSU rRNA". It matches the Rfam family "Bacterial small subunit ribosomal RNA", at positions 61 to 614 of the family's 1533-position model. Lineage: Bacteria; Pseudomonadati; Bacteroidota; Chitinophagia; Chitinophagales; Chitinophagaceae. The record is from RNAcentral.
GUCGAGGGGCAGCACGGUAUAGCAAUAUAUGGGUGGCGACCGGCAAACGGGUGCGGAACACGUACGAAACUUUCCCUUAUCUGGGAGAUAGCCCGGAGAAAUCCGGAUUAAUAUUCCAUAAUAUAAUUGAGUGGCAUCAUUUGAUUAUUAAAGCUCAGGCGGAUAAGGAUGGUCGUGCGUAUGAUUAGGUAGUUGGCGGGGUAACGGCCCACCAAGCCCACGAUCAUUAGCUGAUGUGAGAGCAUGAUCAGCCACACGGGCACUGAGACACGGGCCCGACUCCUACGGGAGGCAGCAGUAAGGAAUAUUGGUCAAUGGACGCAAGUCUGAACCAGCCAUGCCGCGUGAAGGAUGAAGGUCCUCUGGAUUGUAAACUUCUUUUAUAGGGGGCGAAACAACUGAUAUCUAUCGGUCUUGACAGUACCCUAUGAAUAAGCACCGGCUAACUCCGUGCCAGCAGCCGCGGUAAUACGGAGGGUGCAAGCGUUAUCCGGAUUUACUGGGUUUAAAGGGUGCGUAGGCGGACUUGUAAGUCCGAGGUGAAAUCUCUGAGCUUAACU